UACGUAGGUGGCAAGCGUUAUCCGGAUUUAUUGGGUGUAAAGGGCGUGUAGGCGGGAGCGCAAGUCAGAUGUGAAAACUCAGGGCUCAACCCUGAGCCUGCAUUUGAAACUGUGUUUCUUGAGUGCUGGAGAGGCAAUCGGAAUUCCGUGUGUAGGAGUGAAAUCCGUAGAUAUCUGGAGGAACAUCAGUGGCGAAGGCGGCUUACUGGACUGUAACUGACGUUGAGGCUCGAAAGCGUGGGGAGCAAACAGG
This 253-nucleotide ribosomal RNA is filed under the name uncultured Oscillospira sp. RNAcentral's name for it is "partial 16S ribosomal RNA". It matches the Rfam family "Bacterial small subunit ribosomal RNA", at positions 524 to 776 of the family's 1533-position model. Lineage: Bacteria; Bacillati; Bacillota; Clostridia; Eubacteriales; Oscillospiraceae. The record is from RNAcentral.